This 468-nucleotide ribosomal RNA is filed under the name uncultured bacterium. RNAcentral's name for it is "partial 16S ribosomal RNA". It matches the Rfam family "Bacterial small subunit ribosomal RNA", at positions 28 to 507 of the family's 1533-position model. The record is from RNAcentral.
GACGAACGCUGGCGGCGUGCUUAACACAUGCAAGUCGAACGGAAAGGCCCUGCUUUUGUGGGGUGCUCGAGUGGCGAACGGGUGAGUAACACGUGAGUAACCUGCCCUUGACUUUGUGAUAACUUCAGGAAACUGGGGCUAAUACCGGAUAGGAGCUCCUGCUGCAUGGUGGGGGUUGGAAAGUUUCGGCGGUUGGGGAUGGACUCGCGGCUUAUCAGCUUGUUGGUGGGGUAGUGGCUUACCAAGGCUUUGACGGGUAGCCGGCCUGAGAGGGUGACCGGCCACAUUGGGACUGAGAUACGGCCCAGACUCCUACGGGAGGCAGCAGUGGAGAAUAUUGCACAAUGGGCGGAAGCCUGAUGCAGCAACGCCGCGUGCGGGAUGACGGCCUUCGGGUUGUAAACCGCUUUCGCCUGUGACGAAGCGUGAGUGACGGUAAUGGGUAAAGAAGCACCGGCUAACUACGUG